RNAcentral lists this ribosomal RNA (277 nucleotides) under uncultured prokaryote. Its description in RNAcentral is "partial 16S ribosomal RNA". It matches the Rfam family "Bacterial small subunit ribosomal RNA", at positions 524 to 801 of the family's 1533-position model. The record is from RNAcentral.
UACGUAGGGGGCUAGCGUUAUCCGGAAUUACUGGGCGUAAAGGGUGCGUAGGUGGUUUCUUAAGUCAGAGGUGAAAGGCUACGGCUCAACCGUAGUAAGCCUUUGAAACUGGGAAACUUGAGUGCAGGAGAGGAGAGUGGAAUUCCUAGUGUAGCGGUGAAGUGCGUAGAUAUUAGGAGGAACACCAGUUGCGAAGGCGGCUCUCUGGACUGUAACUGACGCUGAGGCUCGAAAGCGUGGGGAGCAAACAGGAUUAGAUACCCUGGUAGUCCCUGAG